Molecule: ribosomal RNA, 301 nt
Filed under: uncultured bacterium
Lineage: Bacteria
Description: partial 16S ribosomal RNA
Rfam family: Bacterial small subunit ribosomal RNA
Source: RNAcentral
CAGUAGCCACGGUAAUACAGAGGGUGCGAGCGUUAAUCGGAUUUACUGGGCGUAAAGCGUGAGUAGGCGGCUUUUUAAGUCGGAUGUGAAAUCCCUGAGCUUAACUUAGGAAUUGCAUUCGAUACUGGGAAGCUAGAGUAUGGGAGAGGAUGGUAGAAUUCCAGGUGUAGCGGUGAAAUGCGUAGAGAUCUGGAGGAAUACCGAUGGCGAAGGCAGCCAUCUGGCCUAAUACUGACGCUGAGGUACGAAAGCAUGGGGAGCAAACAGGAUUAGAUACCCCAGUAGUCUCUGUCUCUUAUAC